Molecule: ribosomal RNA, 305 nt
Filed under: uncultured bacterium
Lineage: Bacteria
Description: bacterial SSU rRNA
Rfam family: Bacterial small subunit ribosomal RNA
Source: RNAcentral
CACCUACGGGACGCAGCAGUGGGGAAUAUUGGGCAAUGGGCGCAAGCCUGACCCAGCAACGCCGCGUGAAGGAAGAAGGCUUUCGGGUUGUAAACUUCUUUUCUCAGGGACGAAGCAAGUGACGGUACCUGAGGAAUAAGCCACGGCUAACCACGUGCCAGCAGCCGCGGUAAUACGUAGGUGGCAAGCGUUAUCCGGAUUUACUGGGUGUAAAGGGAGCGCAGGCGGCACGGCAAGUCUGGUGUGAAAGCCCGGGGCCCAACCCCGGGACUGCAUUGGAAACUGCCGGGCUGGAGUGCCGGAGG